GCCUCGGUAGCUCAGCUGGUAGUAGCGGCGGAUUGAAAAUCCGUGCGUCGCAGGUUCGAUUCCUGCCCUUGGCA
Molecule: transfer RNA, 74 nt
Filed under: Variovorax sp. WDL1
Lineage: Bacteria; Pseudomonadati; Pseudomonadota; Betaproteobacteria; Burkholderiales; Comamonadaceae
Also listed under: 1 other name
Description: tRNA-Phe
Rfam family: tRNA
About the family: Transfer RNA (tRNA) molecules are approximately 80 nucleotides in length. Their secondary structure includes four short double-helical elements and three loops (D, anti-codon, and T loops). Further hydrogen bonds mediate the characteristic L-shaped molecular structure. tRNAs have two regions of fundamental functional importance: the anti-codon, which is responsible for specific mRNA codon recognition, and the 3' end, to which the tRNAs corresponding amino acid is attached (by aminoacyl-tRNA synthetases). tRNAs cope with the degeneracy of the genetic code in two manners: having more than one tRNA (with a specific anti-codon) for a particular amino acid; and 'wobble' base-pairing, i.e. permitting non-standard base-pairing at the 3rd anti-codon position.
Source: RNAcentral